GAAUUUGUUAACAAAUAUCCAAAUCAUAACCGAGCAUAUCUUUAUUUUCGGUCGGAUAGGUUCGAUAUUGAAGAUAGUGAAGAUAUGAAUGAAGUUGCAA
Molecule: regulatory RNA element, 100 nt
Organism: Methanosarcina acetivorans
Lineage: Archaea; Methanobacteriati; Methanobacteriota; Methanomicrobia; Methanosarcinales; Methanosarcinaceae
Rfam family: Pyrrolysine insertion sequence TetR
Source: Rfam